UAAUACGGAGGGUGCAAGCGUUGCUCGGAAUUACUGGGCGUAAAGCGAACGCAGGCGGUUCACUAAGUCGGGCGUGAAAGCCCCGGGCUCAACCUGGGAAUUGCACCCGAUACUGGUAGACUUGAGUCUGAGAGAGGGAAGCGGAAUUCCUGGUGUAGAGGUGAAAUUCGUUGAUAUCAGGAGGAACACCGGCGGCGAAGGCGGCUUCCUGGCUCAGUACUGACGCUCAUGUUCGAAAGCGUGGGGAGCGAACAGGAUUAGAUACCCUGGUAGUCCACGCUGUAAACGAUGAAUGCUAGGUGUUGGAGCCCUUUCACUGCUCCAGUGCCGUAGCCAACGCAUUAAGCAUUCCGCCUGGGGAGUACGGCCGCAAGGCUA
Molecule: ribosomal RNA, 378 nt
Filed under: uncultured bacterium
Lineage: Bacteria
Description: bacterial SSU rRNA
Rfam family: Bacterial small subunit ribosomal RNA
Source: RNAcentral